Molecule: ribosomal RNA, 1235 nt
Filed under: metagenome
Description: bacterial LSU rRNA
Rfam family: Bacterial large subunit ribosomal RNA
Source: RNAcentral
UGAAUACGAGAUGCUACGGCAUUGAAGCAGUGUAUGUCAGACUUCCAAGAAAAGCUCGCAAUGUCAUAAACAAUAAAUGCCUGUACCAUAACCGACACAGGUGGGUAGGUAGAGUAUACUAAGGGGCGCGAGAUAACUCUCUCUAAGGAACUCGGCAAAAUGACUCCGUAACUUCGGGAGAAGGAGUGCCUUAUUUUAUAAGGUUGCAAUAACAAGAUCCAAGCAACUGUUUACCAAAAACACAGGUCUCCGCUAAGUCGAAAGACGAUGUAUGGGGGCUGACGCCUGCCCAGUGCCAGAAGGUUAAAGAAGUUGGUUAGCUUCGGCGAAGCUGAUGACUGAAGCCCUGGUGAACGGCGGCCGUAACAAUAACGGUCCUAAGGUAGCGAAAUUCCCUGUCGGGUAAGUUCCGACCCGCACGAAAGGCGUAAUGAUUUGGAUACUGUCUCGGAGAGGGGCUCGGUGAAAUAGACUUGUCUGUGAAGAUGCGGACUACCUGCACCUGGACAGAAAGACCCUAUGAAGCUUUACUGUAACUUGAGAUUGAAAUUGGACUUUAUUUGCGCAGUAUAGGUGGGAGACGUUGAGAAUAUUCUUGCGGGAAUAUUGGAGUCAUCAGUGAGAUACCACUCUUGUAAUGUUAGAUUUCUAACUUUGUAUCAUUAUCUGGUCAAAGGACAGUUUCAGGCGAGCAGUUUGACUGGGGCGGUCGCCUCCUAAACGGUAACGGAGGCGCACAAAGGUUUCCUCUGAACGUGUAGAAAUCGUAUCUAGAGUGUAAAGGCAUAAGGAAGCUUGACUGUGAGACCUACAAGUCGAGCAGGGACGAAAGUCGGUCUUAGUGAUCUGACGGUGCUGAGUGGAAAGGCCGUCACUCAACGGAUAAAAGUUACUCUAGGAUAACAGGCUGAUCUCCCCCAAGAGUUCACAUCGACGGGGAGGUUUGGCACCUCGAUGUCGGCUCAUCGCAUCCUGGGGCGGUAGUACGUCCCAAGGGUUGGGCUGUUCGCCCAUGAAAGCGGUACGCGAGCUGGGUUCAGAACGUCGUGAGACAGUUCGGUCCAUAUCCGGUGUAGGCGUUAGAAUAUUGAGAGGAGCCUUCUUUAGUACGAGAGGACCGAGAAGGACAUACCUCUGGUGUACCAGUUAUCGUGCCAACGGUAAACGCUGGGUAGCUAUGUAUGGAGUGGAUAACCGCUGAAAGCAUCUAAGUGGGAAGCCCACCUCAAGAUAAG